This 1998-nucleotide ribosomal RNA is filed under the name Pseudomonas sp. ANT_J12. Its description in RNAcentral is "partial 23S ribosomal RNA". It matches the Rfam family "Bacterial large subunit ribosomal RNA", at positions 352 to 2344 of the family's 2925-position model. Lineage: Bacteria; Pseudomonadati; Pseudomonadota; Gammaproteobacteria; Pseudomonadales; Pseudomonadaceae. The record is from RNAcentral.
CGGCCAUAGUGGGUGAUAGCCCUGUACGCGAAAAUCUCUUAGUCAUGAAAUCGAGUAGGACGGAGCACGAGAAACUUUGUCUGAAUAUGGGGGGACCAUCCUCCAAGGCUAAAUACUACUGACUGACCGAUAGUGAACUAGUACCGUGAGGGAAAGGCGAAAAGAACCCCGGAGAGGGGAGUGAAAUAGAUCCUGAAACCGUAUGCGUACAAGCAGUGGGAGCCCACUUUGUUGGGUGACUGCGUACCUUUUGUAUAAUGGGUCAGCGACUUAUUUUCAGUGGCGAGCUUAACCGAAUAGGGGAGGCGUAGCGAAAGCGAGUCUUAAUAGGGCGUCUAGUCGCUGGGAAUAGACCCGAAACCGGGCGAUCUAUCCAUGGGCAGGUUGAAGGUUGGGUAACACUAACUGGAGGACCGAACCGACUACCGUUGAAAAGUUAGCGGAUGACCUGUGGAUCGGAGUGAAAGGCUAAUCAAGCUCGGAGAUAGCUGGUUCUCCUCGAAAGCUAUUUAGGUAGCGCCUCAUGUAUCACUGUAGGGGGUAGAGCACUGUUUCGGCUAGGGGGUCAUCCCGACUUACCAAACCGAUGCAAACUCCGAAUACCUACAAGUGCCGAGCAUGGGAGACACACGGCGGGUGCUAACGUCCGUCGUGAAAAGGGAAACAACCCAGACCGUCAGCUAAGGUCCCAAAGUUAUGGUUAAGUGGGAAACGAUGUGGGAAGGCUUAGACAGCUAGGAGGUUGGCUUAGAAGCAGCCACCCUUUAAAGAAAGCGUAAUAGCUCACUAGUCGAGUCGGCCUGCGCGGAAGAUGUAACGGGGCUCAAACCAUACACCGAAGCUACGGGUAUCACUUAGGUGAUGCGGUAGAGGAGCGUUCUGUAAGCCUGUGAAGGUGAGUUGAGAAGCUUGCUGGAGGUAUCAGAAGUGCGAAUGCUGACAUGAGUAACGACAAUGGGUGUGAAAAACACCCACGCCGAAAGACCAAGGUUUCCUGCGCAACGUUAAUCGACGCAGGGUUAGUCGGUCCCUAAGGCGAGGCUGAAAAGCGUAGUCGAUGGAAAACAGGUUAAUAUUCCUGUACUUCUGGUUAUUGCGAUGGAGGGACGGAGAAGGCUAGGCCAGCUUGGCGUUGGUUGUCCAAGUUUAAGGUGGUAGGCUGGAAUCUUAGGUAAAUCCGGGAUUCUAAGGCCGAGAGCUGAUGACGAGUGUUCUUUUAGAACACGAAGUGGUUGAUGCCAUGCUUCCAAGAAAAGCUUCUAAGCUUCAGGUAACCAGGAACCGUACCCCAAACCGACACAGGUGGUUGGGUAGAGAAUACCAAGGCGCUUGAGAGAACUCGGGUGAAGGAACUAGGCAAAAUGGCACCGUAACUUCGGGAGAAGGUGCGCCGGUGAGGGUGAAGCAUUUACUGCGUAAGCCCAUGCCGGUCGAAGAUACCAGGCCGCUGCGACUGUUUAUUAAAAACACAGCACUCUGCAAACACGAAAGUGGACGUAUAGGGUGUGACGCCUGCCCGGUGCCGGAAGGUUAAUUGAUGGGGUUAGCUAACGCGAAGCUCUUGAUCGAAGCCCCGGUAAACGGCGGCCGUAACUAUAACGGUCCUAAGGUAGCGAAAUUCCUUGUCGGGUAAGUUCCGACCUGCACGAAUGGCGUAACGAUGGCGGCGCUGUCUCCACCCGAGACUCAGUGAAAUUGAAAUCGCUGUGAAGAUGCAGUGUAUCCGCGGCUAGACGGAAAGACCCCGUGAACCUUUACUAUAGCUUUGCACUGGACUUUGAAUUUGCUUGUGUAGGAUAGGUGGGAGGCUUUGAAGCGUGGACGCCAGUUCGCGUGGAGCCAACCUUGAAAUACCACCCUGGCAACUUUGAGGUUCUAACUCAGGUCCGUUAUCCGGAUCGAGGACAGUGUAUGGUGGGUAGUUUGACUGGGGCGGUCUCCUCCUAAAGAGUAACGGAGGAGUACGAAGGUGCGCUCAGACCGGUCGGAAAUCGGUCG